AACGAACGCUGGCGGCGUGCUUAACACAUGCAAGUCGAACGCACCGCAAGGUGAGUGGCGCACGGGUGAGUAACGCGUGGGAAUCUACCUUUUGAUUCGGAAUAACAUCGGGAAACUGGUGCUAAUACCGGAUAAGCCCUUCGGGGGAAAGAUUUAUCGUCAAAAGAUGAGCCCGCGUUGGAUUAGCUAGUUGGUGAGGUAACGGCUCACCAAGGCGACGAUCCAUAGCUGGUCUGAGAGGAUGAUCAGCCACACUGGGACUGAGACACGGCCCAGACUCCUACGGGAAGCAGCAGUGGGGAAUAUUGGACAAUGGGGGCAACCCUGAUCCAGCAGCGCCGCGUGAGUGAUGAAGGUCUUCGGAUUGUAAAGCUCUUUUGGCAGGGACGAUGAUGACGGUACCUGCAGAAUAAGCUCCGGCUAACUUCGUGCCAGCAGCCGCCGUAA
Molecule: ribosomal RNA, 447 nt
Filed under: uncultured bacterium
Lineage: Bacteria
Description: partial 16S ribosomal RNA
Rfam family: Bacterial small subunit ribosomal RNA
Source: RNAcentral